GGGAGGAAGAGGGGGACAUUUCAAAAGGGAACCGGAUAGAGGGACGGACCGGACGAAUGAAUCGCGAGCUGGGGAUGCUGCUAGCAGUUAAUAAAACGGGAAUUAUACGCCGAUCUCGUCCGGAUUUCGUUUCUGCGAGCACUUUAUUAGUCUCCGAAUCAUCAACCUUAUGCAAAGCUUUACAUAUAUAUGUCGUCCUCGCGUGUGUCCUUAUGUUUCGAUGAUGAAGAAUAUAAUAAAAAGAAAAAGAAGAAGAAGAAGUUAAGAUUCUACGUAGAAUUCUAAUUCCUCUAAUGGAUGAACAAACCAAAGAAGAGAAUCAUCGUAAUACACAAUCAUCAUCAAACCAGAUUCCUCUAAUGGAUGAACAAACCAAAGAAGAGAAUCAUCGUAAUACACAAUCAUCAUCAAACCAGGAUUCCUCUAAUGGAUGAACAAACCAAAGAAGAGAAUCAUCGUAAUACACAAUCAUCAUCAAACCAGGAUUCCUCUAAUGGAUGAACAAACCAAAGAAGAGAAUCAUCGUAAUACACAAUCAUCAUCAAACCAGGGAUGGUCAUCAUCAUCUUCUCAGAGUUUCGACCAAAGCAACCACCCUGCAGAUUCUGAGAGGUUCGUCUGAAAGCAGGAUAUGGGGUUGGUCCUAGAAAGUGCAGAAGGGGGUGGAAGAGGAGGAGGAAGCUUGGUCAACAUUUGAGCAGAGAGAGAGAUAGAGAGAAAAAAAUAGAAAAAAA
RNAcentral lists this long non-coding RNA (734 nucleotides) under Polistes fuscatus (common paper wasp). RNAcentral's name for it is "uncharacterized LOC122513845". Lineage: Eukaryota; Metazoa; Arthropoda; Insecta; Hymenoptera; Vespidae. The record is from RNAcentral.